Molecule: long non-coding RNA, 623 nt
Filed under: Apteryx rowi (Okarito brown kiwi)
Lineage: Eukaryota; Metazoa; Chordata; Aves; Apterygiformes; Apterygidae
Description: lncRNA (ENSARWG00000018339.1)
Source: RNAcentral
CAAACUCAGCUGCUUUGUCAUUGUGGCUUUGGGAAUGUUUCUGCAAGCAAGAAACAUAUUGUUGGCUUGAAAUAUCUUUCAAAACACAAAUUGUUUUCUGUGUUCUCUGAAAAUAUAUUGGAUUCCCAGUUCUUUCAGAUCUUGUUUUAUGUAGCAGCAGAAGCAUUGAAAGGUGGAGGUUUGCAAAUUUGGUUUCCCCAUGAUGAAGCAGGCUUCUAUAAUUACAUGGAGCAGAGAAUGAGAAGGUGGAAAACCAAAUGAAAUCAGUUUUGCUUUUUGAGCUACAAGGUUUGUGUAGGUGUUUGGGGGAAGAAAGUGGAGCACACCAGCUCUUGAACAUGGAACAGCAACACUGUAACAGUAACUGAGGACUGGGAAGAAGGAAAAUACUUCAUUGCAAGUCUGAGUGAAAUUUAGGCGGCACUGGAAUUUGGUCCAGACAGGGCAACACUUCCACAUUUACAUUUUCACAUCUUGAGAGUGGCAGUCAUCGCAGAUGUUUCGUGACACCCAGUGUCUGCCUUGUAGUGUCCUGGUCCCACUUAACAACAACUAUUCAAGUUUUAAAUGAGUUAUAGCAAUGAUUGUGCUUUCAUAUGGAGGAGAAUAAACUUGAAAGAGAU